CUAAUGACUCUCGGCAACGGAUAUCUCGGCUCACGCAUCGAUGAAGAACGUAGCAAAAUGCGAUACUUGGUGUGAAUUGCAGAAUCCCGUGAACCAUCGAGUUUUUGAACGCAAGUUGCGCCCGAAGCCAUCCGGCCGAGGGCACGCCUGCCUGGGCGUCACG
This 163-nucleotide ribosomal RNA is filed under the name Paraprenanthes diversifolia. RNAcentral describes it as "5.8S ribosomal RNA". It matches the Rfam family "5.8S ribosomal RNA". From Rfam's summary of the family: 5.8S ribosomal RNA (5.8S rRNA) is a component of the large subunit of the eukaryotic ribosome. It is transcribed by RNA polymerase I as part of the 45S precursor that also contains 18S and 28S rRNA. Lineage: Eukaryota; Viridiplantae; Streptophyta; Magnoliopsida; Asterales; Asteraceae. The record is from RNAcentral.